RNA transcript from Triticum dicoccoides, 1056 nucleotides. It is a transcript of the gene named U4/U6.U5 small nuclear ribonucleoprotein 27 kDa protein-like, with no coding region annotated. The transcript has 3 exons. The record is from RefSeq and is a predicted model, not a curated record. NCBI's taxonomy places the organism in Eukaryota, Viridiplantae, Streptophyta, Magnoliopsida, Poales, Poaceae.
AACCCCGACGAGAGGCCGAAGGAGCAAGCCCUAGCUGGUCCGAAUCCCCCCCUCCUCGCCGAACAAAUGUCCGACCGCCGCCGCGACAAGGAGAGGCCCCGCGAGCGCGGCGGCUACGACCAGCCGCGGGAGCGCGACCACGACGCCGACCGCCACCGCGACCGGGACCGGGACCGCGACGUCGACCGCCACCGCGACCGGGACCGCGGCCAGGACAAGGAGCGGGACCGCGACCGCGACCGGGACUACCGCCGCGCCCGCAAGCGCUCCCGCUCCCCCUCCCCCUCGGCCGACAGGGACCGCUCCCGCCGCCGCCGCUCCCACUCCCACUCCCACCCCCACCGGUCCCGCUCCCCCGACGCCGGCCGCCACAAGCGCCGCCGCGAGGUGUCGCCCGUCGCCGACCCGAAGGAGGACAGGAAGCCGGACCCCCCCUCCGCCCCCAAGGCCGCCGAGGAGCCGGCCCCGGUUGGUGACGGGGACGUGGACGCCGAGGAGCUGGAGAUGAUGAAGAUGAUGGGGAUCCCCGUCGGGUUCGACUCCACCAAGGGUAAGUACGUCCCCGGCGCCGACGUCAGCGGCGUGCGCGCCGUCACCAAGCGCCAGCCGCGGCAGUACAUGAACCGCAGGGGCGGGUUCAACCGUCCCCUGCCGCCCGAGGUCAACCGCUGAGGAGGAUCAUGUAUCAAUGCAGUAUACCUCGUUGCCGGAUUGCAAACUUGCAGUGGACUAUUUGACUUCUUUGCCGGCCAUAGCAAGGGUUGAGCUUCUACUGUCUACCAAGCAUGUAUAACCUUGAUGGCUAGUUACUUUGCCAAACUUUGAAGACUAAAGACAUGUAGUUCUCGUUUUCAUCAUUUGCUCUGUUGACAAUCCAGGAAAAGAUAUUGGUGGCGUGUUUUUGGAAAUGUGGUUUAGAAAUUUACAUGAUGUUUCUGCACAUAAUUUGUAUGUUUUUCAGGCAUGCACCACAUGGAAUGGAACUUCUUGUGAUGAUUGCAUAUGUGGCUGCAGCAUUAUUACAGUUAUGAAGAUCAUAAUAUGCUGUUCUAUGUA